CAAUGGGUGAGUAAAGUGGCGUACGGGUGAGUAACACGUGGGUAAUCUACCUUUUAGUGGGGAAUAACCCUGGGAAACCGGGGCUAAUACCGCAUAAUCCUGCAAAGGGAAAGCAGCAAUGCGCUGAAAGAGGAGCCCGCGGCCGAUUAGCUAGUUGGUGAGGUAAUGGCUCACCAAGGCGGUGAUCGGUAGCCGGCCUGAGAGGGCACACGGCCACACUGGCACUGAAACACGGGCCAG
This 240-nucleotide ribosomal RNA is filed under the name uncultured bacterium. RNAcentral's name for it is "partial 16S ribosomal RNA". It matches the Rfam family "Bacterial small subunit ribosomal RNA", at positions 80 to 334 of the family's 1533-position model. The record is from RNAcentral.